UCGAGUCCAGGCGUUAACUGGAUUGCACACCACACACGGUUAGAAGACCACCGACGACUGGCGUCGUUAUCGCGGUUCGAUUCCGCGAGUCGGCAUUAAGGCGGCCAUAGCGGUGGGGUUACACCCGUACCCAUCCCGAACACGGAAGUUAAGCCCACCAGCGUUCCGGCGAGUACUCGAGUGCGCGAGCCUCCGGGAAAACCGGUUCGCCGCCUCCAUUCAUUUCCAUCAUUCAU
This 236-nucleotide ribosomal RNA is filed under the name Halanaeroarchaeum sulfurireducens. The record is from RNAcentral. Lineage: Archaea; Methanobacteriati; Methanobacteriota; Halobacteria; Halobacteriales; Halobacteriaceae.